Xenopus laevis (African clawed frog) is the source of this 530-nucleotide long non-coding RNA. RefSeq lists it as uncharacterized. NCBI's taxonomy places the organism in Eukaryota, Metazoa, Chordata, Amphibia, Anura, Pipidae. The transcript is spliced from 4 exons. The record is from RefSeq and is a predicted model, not a curated record.
GGCACAGGAGUUUUUCACAUAAAGUAAUGCUAUUAAGAAAAGAGGGUAAUUAACUGACUCAGGACUGCUGUACAUAUGGGAGUACAAUAUCAUCCAGCCCUCCUGGACAAUUGUGAGCCUGCAACCACAGUCUUUUUACCAGCUUGCCUCUGCACUUUUUCCAGCACAUUAAUAUCCUUCUUAAGGACUGGGGCGCAAAACUGCACUGCAUACUGUCGCUAAAAAGCACCAAGGAGAGACCCCUGCAGUACUCUACUAUCAACACUGGUCCAAUUAGAAAGUGUUCCAUUUAAAACCAUUCUUUGUAAUUUAUCCUUCAGCCAAUUCUUUGCACAAGUACAAAUAUUAUAUUCCAGGUCAAUAUUUCUUAAAUUAAUCAAUAACCUUCUGAGUGGUACUGUAUCAAAAGCUUUAGCAAAAGUAAGUCCUAGGCACUGCCACCCCAAUGUUUAGGUUUCUGCUCACCUUCUAAUAGGUAAUUACAUAUGUCUGAUAAGAUUUAUUGCAAAUUAAACCCAUGCUGAAAUGUA